Molecule: ribosomal RNA, 490 nt
Filed under: uncultured bacterium
Lineage: Bacteria
Description: partial 16S ribosomal RNA
Rfam family: Bacterial small subunit ribosomal RNA
Source: RNAcentral
AGUGAACGCUGGCGGUAGGCCUAACACAUGCAAGUCGAACGGCAGCACAGGAGAGCUUGCUCUCUGGGUGGCGAGUGGCGGACGGGUGAGGAAUACAUCGGAAUCUGCCCAGUCGUGGGGGAUAACGUAGGGAAACUUACGCUAAUACCGCAUACGACCUUCGGGUGAAAGAGGGGGAUCGCAAGACCUCUCGCGAUUGGAUGAGCCGAUGUCGGAUUAGCUAGUUGGCGGGGUAAUGGCCCACCAAGGCGACGAUCCGAAGCUGGUCUGAGAGGAUGAUCAGCCACACUGGAACUGAGACACGGUCCAGACUCCUACGGGAGGCAGCAGUGGGGAAUAUUGGACAAUGGGCGCAAGCCUGAUCCAGCCAUACCGCGUGGGUGAAGAAGGCCUUCGGGUUGUGAAGCCCUUUUGUUGGGAAAGAAAUCUUUCAGGCUAAUACCCUGGGAGGAUGACGGUACCCAAAGAAUAAGCACCGGCUAACUUCGUG